Molecule: RNA transcript, 2908 nt
Organism: Gymnodraco acuticeps
Lineage: Eukaryota; Metazoa; Chordata; Actinopteri; Perciformes; Bathydraconidae
Gene: clasrp
Gene name: CLK4-associating serine/arginine rich protein
Exons: 21
Source: RefSeq, a predicted model, not a curated record
GAGUGAGUGCAGCGCCCCCUCAGGCUGAGAUAAGUAAGCCUGAGCGGCAGCGCUAGAAGAGGGAGGCGUGUGACAGAAGCACACGGCUAACAGCGAAAACAACCCAAGUGUGUGUGAGUGGUCCCUUAAACAGCAACCGUGCCCCGCCGCGCCCCCACCCCCAGCGGAGCCGUCAUGUGGCAAGAGGCCCGCAAACAUGAGCGUAAGCUCCGUGGCAUGAUGGUAGAUUACAAACGCCGAGGAGAGCGACGGCGAGAGUACUACGAGAAGAUCAAAAAAGAUCCAGCUCAGUUUCUUCAGGUUCAUGGCCGAGCGUACAAGAUUCAUCUGGAUCCUGCUGUGGCCACGGCUGCAGAGAGCCCCAUCAACAUGAUGCCAUGGCAAGGAGAUGCCAACAACAUGAUUGACAGGUUUGAUGUAAGGGCUCAUCUAGACUACAUCCCUACAUACACUCCUCCACUGCUCAGCACAUCGAACCCAGAGCAGGACAUGGAGGAGAGGAAGUGCAAUUAUGAGCGAUACAGAGGCCUAGUGCAGAAUGACUUUGCCAACAUCUCUGAGGAGCAGUGUUUAUACCAGAUCUACCUGGAUGAACUAUACGGUGGUCUGCAGAAACCAAAUGAGGACGAGAAGAAAAAACUGGCUGAAAAGAAAGCCACCAUUGGUUACACGUAUGAAGACAGCACUGUGAUGGAGCCCGACCCCCAGUCAGACAAAGAGGAGGAUGAUUCAGAAAACAGCGAAUCGGAAGAGGAUGAGGGCAUCCCAGAUAUUGAUGUGGAGGUUGACGUUGACGAGCUGAACGAGGAACAGGUGUUGGACGUAAACAAAAUGGCAACCCCAUACGGAAUGGCUGAAGGAGACUUUGUUAGGAUGUUGAGGAAAGACAAGGAGGAAGUGGAGGCCAUCAAACAUGCCAAAGCUCUGGAGGCGGAGAAGGCCAUGUACUCUGGCCGGCGUUCCCGCAGACAAAGGAGAGAGUUCAGAGAGAAGAGACUAAAAGGAAGACAGAUCAGCCCACCAAGCUAUGCCAGGAGAGACAGCCCAACAUACGAUCCCUAUAAACGGCCAGAGAUGGAGUCCAGCUCAGAGUCGCGGUCACGCUCUCGUUCUCCUGGUCCGGAGAAGAUCACCUUCAUCACCAGCUACGGAGGCAGCGAUGAUGAAGCAGUAGCGGCGGCGGCAGCGGCGGCAGCAGCUGCAGCAGUAGCUGCAGCAGCAACACAAUCAGCUGCUCCCCACUCUGGACACGCCCCCUCCAGCUUACAGCACCCUGCAGGUCAUAGCAGGGGCUCCCGGAGAAGAAGGUCAUCCUCCAGUCGCUCCCCCUCCUCCUCCUCCCGCUCCUCAUCGCGAUCCUCCUCCCACUCUUCUUCCCGUUCCCGCCGCGGUCGACGUGGGCGUGGCGGGAGGGACGGGCGGCGGUCCCGGAGCGAUGGGCGGCGAUCCCGGAGCCGAUCGCGGUCGAGGCGGCGUUCCAGAUCUCACUCACGAGGCAGAGCAGGGAACGGAGGGGCCGCGUCCUGGAAGAGGCGGGACCGGACACGAUCACGGUCUAACGACAGAGAGCGAGGAAGGGACCGGGACCGGGACAGGAGACGGUACUCAGCACGCAGGCGGACAAAGUCCCGUUCCAGCUCACGGCAGGGGGGCAGCUCGAGGCGAGGGGGGCGGAGCAGCGGGGGUCAUCGGAGGGCCGACAGCGGCAGCAAAAGCCCCUCCCGGUCGCCCAGUCGCUCCAACCGCACUCCCUCCCCUCACAGAGGAGCCCCGCCCUCUUCCAACACCAUCUGUGACAAGCUAAGAAAGCCUGAUACUCCGGGUGGUAAAGAGACGGGAGCUGCCAAAGUCAAACAAGAUGACCCCACAGGAGAAGCUGAAGAUCAAAAUGCAGAAGGCGCUCAACAGGCAGUCCAAGGCGGAUAAAAGAGCGGCGCAGGUGAAGGUCCAGCAGCAGGAAAGCAAACGACAGGAGCGAGAGGGAGAGCUACGAGCCAUGGCACGCAAGAUACGCAUGAAGGAGCGAGAGAGACGUGAGAAGGAGAGGGACGAAUGGGAGAGACAGUACGGGCGUCAGAGCCACUCGCCUUCCCCUUCCAAACAUGGCCGAGAGCACAGCUCACACAGAAGGUAUGCGAGAAGCCGCAGCAAUCCCAACAGCUCCGAUGAAGCAGAAUGAAUUAUGGAGGUCUCGGUCCCGGUCACGAAGUCCACCCUACCGAUACUGAGCGGAGGGAACAUGGACGCCUCCUACAGUCCCAUUAGUACACAGCCAUGUACACAUAUUCUAACAAACGGCCAACAAACGUGAAAAGAUGGAGUGAUCAUGAUACCAACCUUUACUUGAACACUCUGUCCUCUGGUAUGUGUCCACAGAUAUAAUAUUUGGACUGUGAUACCUUUUACUUUCAGUUAUCAAAGCCAAUUGGUUCGGCGGAGCGGAGUUUGAUCUGCCCUUUUCAUUUUUGAUUCAACUUGUAAAAAGUCUUCAGCUUUAAUAAAUUAGUUUCUUCUUCUGCAUGCUCCUUUUUUCUUUCUCUGCCUGAACAGUUCUCAACUCGUCUGGAGUUGUUCAUUUGUAUUUCAAUGUACAUAAUAAGCAACAUCUCACCUUUUCACCUCACAUCGUCUCCACGUUAGCCUUUCUUUUUAUUUCUCCGACAAGCUCACACUACAGAACAUUUUAACAACCUCUCAAGAGCCGAUGUACAGGAUAUUUACACUUAUCCAUUUAUUUAAAACGUCUUUAUUAAAGGAAACAAACUCCCUGUAUAAAUUCAAACUUUAUCCAGCGCUCCUUUUAUACUCUGUCGUCUGCUAACCGGUUUACAGCAGCAUAUAGCCUUUUGGUUUUCAGCAAAAUGGAAUGUAAAAUAUGGAACAAUAAAUAAAACUCACUUUGAAACUA